RNAcentral lists this ribosomal RNA (253 nucleotides) under uncultured bacterium. RNAcentral describes it as "partial 16S ribosomal RNA". It matches the Rfam family "Bacterial small subunit ribosomal RNA", at positions 524 to 776 of the family's 1533-position model. The record is from RNAcentral.
UACGAAGGGGGCGAGCGUUGUUCGGAAUUACUGGGCGUAAAGGGUGCGCAGGCGGCCUUAGAAGUCAGAUGUGAAAGCCCCGGGCUCAACCUGGGAAUGGCAUUUGAUACUCUGAGGCUGGAGUACGGGAGAGGAGAGUGGAAUUCCCAGUGUAGAGGUGAAAUUCGUAGAUAUUGGGAAGAACACCGGUGGCGAAGGCGGCUCUCUGGACCGUAACUGACGCUGAGGCGCGAGAGCGUGGGGAGCAAACAGG